UCCGUAGGUGAACCUGCGGAAGGAUCAUUCACACAUUCCAACCAUUGUUUGUGCACAUAGCGGUGUGACAGUGCGUGCAAUGCUCGGUCGUUGUUCGUAUUGUUAAGGGUGGCGGGGGGGCAUGUGGGCUGCGGUCAAACAUGCUUCUUUGCCACCGUUGCAACGGUCUGCUUGAGUUACCGCUGCGUCAAUAUCUUGCCCAAACAUGUUGGGGCGAACUUUAAAUGAAAUCACAACUUCCAGUGAUGGAUGUCUCGGCUCGAAAAACGAUGAAGGGUGCAGCGAAGUGUGAUAAGCAUCGUGAAUUGCAGGAUUCAGUGAACCAAUAGGACGUUGAACGCAUAUUGCUCUUUCGGGUUAGUCCUGAAAGCAUGCUUGCUUUAGCGUCUUUCGUUUAUUUCAGCGAUUUGUGUGUUGCUUGCGCCACAUAGAUCCGCGCGUUGAUGUUUCAACAUUGCUUUGUCUAUGCUGACACAUCUGGUCUUAGGGUGUUUGCCAUGCGCAACGUUGAGAUUGUUCAUCGAAAGUCUUGCGCGUCAUCAAGCCACCCUGUUAUUUACAAACCUAUUCCAAGGCAUGAAAUUAAGCCAGAGAACCUGCUGAAUUUAAGCAUAUCAAUA
Molecule: ribosomal RNA, 620 nt
Filed under: uncultured eukaryote
Lineage: Eukaryota
Description: eukaryotic LSU rRNA
Rfam family: 5.8S ribosomal RNA (bases 235-389)
Source: RNAcentral